RNAcentral lists this transfer RNA (85 nucleotides) under Actinomycetes bacterium. RNAcentral describes it as "Actinobacteria bacterium tRNA-Ser". It matches the Rfam family "tRNA". Rfam says of the family: Transfer RNA (tRNA) molecules are approximately 80 nucleotides in length. Their secondary structure includes four short double-helical elements and three loops (D, anti-codon, and T loops). Further hydrogen bonds mediate the characteristic L-shaped molecular structure. tRNAs have two regions of fundamental functional importance: the anti-codon, which is responsible for specific mRNA codon recognition, and the 3' end, to which the tRNAs corresponding amino acid is attached (by aminoacyl-tRNA synthetases). tRNAs cope with the degeneracy of the genetic code in two manners: having more than one tRNA (with a specific anti-codon) for a particular amino acid; and 'wobble' base-pairing, i.e. permitting non-standard base-pairing at the 3rd anti-codon position. Lineage: Bacteria; Bacillati; Actinomycetota; Actinomycetes. The record is from RNAcentral. RNAcentral also lists the same sequence under 2 other names.
GGAGGGGUGCGAGAGCGGCCGAAUCGGCACGACUGGAAAUCGUGUGUGGGGAAACUCACCGUGGGUUCAAAUCCCACCCUCUCCG